Molecule: ribosomal RNA, 1522 nt
Filed under: Salmonella enterica
Lineage: Bacteria; Pseudomonadati; Pseudomonadota; Gammaproteobacteria; Enterobacterales; Enterobacteriaceae
Description: partial 23S ribosomal RNA
Rfam family: Bacterial large subunit ribosomal RNA
Source: RNAcentral
GCCGGAGGGAAACCGAGUCUUAACCGGGCGUUAAGUUGCAGGGUAUAGACCCGAAACCCGGUGAUCUAGCCAUGGGCAGGUUGAAGGUUGGGUAACACUAACUGGAGGACCGAACCGACUAAUGUUGAAAAAUUAGCGGAUGACCUGUGGCUGGGGGUGAAAGGCCAAUCAAACCGGGAGAUAGCUGGUUCUCCCCGAAAGCUAUUUAGGUAGCGCCUCGUGAAUUCAUCUCCGGGGGUAGAGCACUGUUUCGGCUAGGGGGCCAUCCCGGCUUACCAACCCGAUGCAAACUGCGAAUACCGGAGAAUGUUAUCACGGGAGACACACGGCGGGUGCUAACGUCCGUCGUGAAGAGGGAAACAACCCAGACCGCCAGCUAAGGUCCCAAAGUCAUGGUUAAGUGGGAAACGAUGUGGGAAGGCCCAGACAGCCAGGAUGUUGGCUUAGAAGCAGCCAUCAUUUAAAGAAAGCGUAAUAGCUCACUGGUCGAGUCGGCCUGCGCGGAAGAUGUAACGGGGCUAAACCAUGCACCGAAGCUGCGGCAGCGACGCUGAUGCGUUGUUGGGUAGGGGAGCGUUCUGUAAGCCUGCGAAGGUGGCCUGUGAGGGUUGCUGGAGGUAUCAGAAGUGCGAAUGCUGACAUAAGUAACGAUAAAGCGGGUGAAAAGCCCGCUCGCCGGAAGACCAAGGGUUCCUGUCCAACGUUAAUCGGGGCAGGGUGAGUCGACCCCUAAGGCGAGGCCGAAAGGCGUAGUCGAUGGGAAACGGGUUAAUAUUCCCGUACUUGGUGUUACUGCGAAGGGGGGACGGAGAAGGCUAUGUUGGCCGGGCGACGGUUGUCCCGGUUUAAGCGUGUAGGUGUGUGUUCCAGGUAAAUCCGGUUCACUUUAACACUGAGGCGUGAUGACGAGGCACUACGGUGCUGAAGCAACAAAUGCCCUGCUUCCAGGAAAAGCCUCUAAGCAUCAGGUAACAUCAAAUCGUACCCCAAACCGACACAGGUGGUCAGGUAGAGAAUACCAAGGCGCUUGAGAGAACUCGGGUGAAGGAACUAGGCAAAAUGGUGCCGUAACUUCGGGAGAAGGCACGCUGACACGUAGGUGAAGUGAUUUACUCAUGGAGCUGAAGUCAGUCGAAGAUACCAGCUGGCUGCAACUGUUUAUUAAAAACACAGCACUGUGCAAACACGAAAGUGGACGUAUACGGUGUGACGCCUGCCCGGUGCCGGAAGGUUAAUUGAUGGGGUCAGCGCAAGCGAAGCUCCUGAUCGAAGCCCCGGUAAACGGCGGCCGUAACUAUAACGGUCCUAAGGUAGCGAAAUUCCUUGUCGGGUAAGUUCCGACCUGCACGAAUGGCGUAAUGAUGGCCAGGCUGUCUCCACCCGAGACUCAGUGAAAUUGAACUCGCUGUGAAGAUGCAGUGUACCCGCGGCAAGACGGAAAGACCCCGUGAACCUUUACUAUAGCUUGACACUGAACAUUGAGCCUUGAUGUGUAGGAUAGGUGGGAGGCUUUGAAGUGUGG